CCCCUAGAUGUCCUGGGCCGCACGCGCAAUACAAUGUAAAGUUCAGAAAGCAUAUCCUGUUCCGGAAGGCAAUGGGUAAUCUUUUCAAUAUUUUACGUGUUAGGGAUUGAUCUUUGCAAUUAUAGAUCUUGAACGAGGAAUACCUAGUAAGUGCAGCUCAUCAGGCUGUACUGAUUACGUCCCUGCCCUUUGUACACACCGCCCGUCGCUCCUACCGAUUUCGAGUGGUCCGGUGAAUCUUUUGGAAUUAGAGUGCAAACUCAAACUAAGAUCGAUAAACCUUAUCACUUAGAGGAAGGAGAAGUCGUAACA
RNAcentral lists this ribosomal RNA (312 nucleotides) under uncultured eukaryote. RNAcentral describes it as "partial 18S ribosomal RNA". It matches the Rfam family "Eukaryotic small subunit ribosomal RNA", at positions 1470 to 1796 of the family's 1831-position model. The record is from RNAcentral.